This 72-nucleotide transfer RNA is filed under the name archaeon. RNAcentral describes it as "tRNA-Arg". It matches the Rfam family "tRNA". Rfam says of the family: Transfer RNA (tRNA) molecules are approximately 80 nucleotides in length. Their secondary structure includes four short double-helical elements and three loops (D, anti-codon, and T loops). The record is from RNAcentral.
GUCCCCGUAGUGUAGUGGAUAUCACGCUGGCUUGCGGAGCCUGUAACCCGAGUUCAAUUCUCGGCGGGGACG